RNAcentral lists this ribosomal RNA (229 nucleotides) under uncultured bacterium. RNAcentral describes it as "partial 16S ribosomal RNA". It matches the Rfam family "Bacterial small subunit ribosomal RNA", at positions 568 to 796 of the family's 1533-position model. The record is from RNAcentral.
UACGUAGGCGGACUCGCAGGCAUCUUGUGAAAUCCCUCCGCUCAACGGAGGAACUGCAGGGUGAACCGCGAGUCUUGAGACAGGUAGGGGCUGUCGGAACGCUAGGUGGAGUGGUGAAAUGCGUUGAUAUCUAGCGGAACGCCGAAGGAGAAAUCAGGCAGCUGGGCCUGUUCUGACGCUGAGGUACGAAAGCGUGGGGAGCGAACAGGAUUAGAUACCCUGGUAGUCC